Molecule: ribosomal RNA, 483 nt
Filed under: uncultured bacterium
Lineage: Bacteria
Description: SSU rRNA
Rfam family: Bacterial small subunit ribosomal RNA
Source: RNAcentral
GAUGAACGCUAGCGAUAGGCCUAACACAUGCAAGUCGAGGGGCAGCACGAAAGCGUAGCAAUACAAUUUUGGUGGCGACCGGCGCACGGGUGAGUAACGCGUAUGCAACCUACCUACUACUUUGGGAUAGCUCGUUGAAAGACGAAUUAAUACCUUAUAAAACAGGGGCUCCGCAUGGAGAUAUUUGUUAAAGAUUUAUCGGUAGUAGAUGGGCAUGCGUUCCAUUAGUUAGUUGGUGAGGUAACGGCUCACCAAGACAACGAUGGAUAGGGGAACUGAGAGGUUUGUCCCCCACACUGGAACUGAGACACGGUCCAGACUCCUACGGGAGGCAGCAGUGAGGAAUAUUGGUCAAUGGAGGCAACUCUGAACCAGCCAAGUCGCGUGAAGGAUGACUGCCCUACGGGUUGUAAACUUCUUUUUUAAGGGAAUAAAGUGAGCCACGUGUGGCUUUUUGCAUGUACCUUACGAAUAAGGAUCGGC